UACGUAGGCAGCGAGCGUUGUUCGGAGUUACUGGGCGUAAAGCGUGCGUAGGCGGUUGUCUAAGUUUGGUGUGAAAUCUCCCGGCUUAACUGGGAGGGUGCGCCGAAAACUGGGUGACUGGAGUGUCGGAGAGGUAAGCGGAAUUCCUGGUGUAGCGGUGAAACGCGUAGAGAUCAGGAGGAACACCUGUGGUGUAGACAGCUUACUGGACGAUAACUGACGCUGAGGCACGAAAGCGUGGGUAGCAAACAGG
RNAcentral lists this ribosomal RNA (253 nucleotides) under uncultured bacterium. RNAcentral describes it as "partial 16S ribosomal RNA". It matches the Rfam family "Bacterial small subunit ribosomal RNA", at positions 524 to 776 of the family's 1533-position model. The record is from RNAcentral.